This 1343-nucleotide ribosomal RNA is filed under the name uncultured bacterium. RNAcentral's name for it is "16S ribosomal RNA". It matches the Rfam family "Bacterial small subunit ribosomal RNA", at positions 28 to 1378 of the family's 1533-position model. The record is from RNAcentral.
GACGAACGCUGGCGGCGUGCUUAACACAUGCAAGUCGAACGGAAAGGCCCUGCUUUUGUGGGGUGCUCGAGUGGCGAACGGGUGAGUAACAUGUGAGUAACCUGCCCUUGACUUUGGGAUAACUUCAGGAAACUGGGGCUAAUACCGGAUAGGAGCUCCUGCUGCAUGGUGGGGGUUGGAAAGUUUCGGCGGUUGGGGAUGGACUCGCGGCUUAUCAGCUUGUUGGUGGGGUAGUGGCUUACCAAGGCUUUGACGGGUAGCCGGCCUGAGAGGGUGACCGGCCACAUUGGGACUGAGAUACGGCCCAGACUCCUACGGGAGGCAGCAGUGGGGAAUAUUGCACAAUGGGCGGAAGCCUGAUGCAGCAACGCCGCGUGCGGGAUGACGGCCUUCGGGUUGUAAACCGCUUUCGCCUGUGACGAAGCGUGAGUGACGGUAAUGGGUAAAGAAGCACCGGCUAACUACGUGCCAGCAGCCGCGGUGAUACGUAGGGUGCGAGCGUUGUCCGGAUUUAUUGGGCGUAAAGGGCUCGUAGGUGGUUGAUCGCGUCGGAAGUGUAAUCUUGGGGCUUAACCCUGAGCGUGCUUUCGAUACGGGUUGACUUGAGGAAGGUAGGGGAGAAUGGAAUUCCUGGUGGAGCGGUGGAAUGCGCAGAUAUCAGGAGGAACACCAGUGGCGAAGGCGGUUCUCUGGGCCUUUCCUGACGCUGAGGAGCGAAAGCGUGGGGAGCGAACAGGCUUAGAUACCCUGGUAGUCCACGCUGUAAACGGUGGGUACUAGGUGUGGGGUCCAUUCCACGGGUUCCGUGCCGUAGCUAACGCUUUAAGUACCCCGCCUGGGGAGUACGGCCGCAAGGCUAAAACUCAAAGGAAUUGACGGGGCCCCGCACAAGCGGCGGAGCAUGCGGAUUAAUUCGAUGCAACGCGUAGAACCUUACCUGGGUUUGACAUGGAUCGGGAGUGCUCAGAGAUGGGUGUGCCUCUUUUGGGGUCGGUUCACAGGUGGUGCAUGGCUGUCGUCAGCUCGUGUCGUGAGAUGUUGGGUUAAGUCCCGCAACGAGCGCAACCCUUGUUCACUGUUGCCAGCACGUUAUGGUGGGGACUCAGUGGAGACCGCCGGGGUCAACUCGGAGGAAGGUGGGGAUGACGUCAAGUCAUCAUGCCCCUUAUGUCCAGGGCUUCACGCAUGCUACAAUGGCUGGUACAGAGAGUGGCGAGCCUGUGAGGGUGAGCGAAUCUCGGAAAGCCGGUCUCAGUUCGGAUUGGGGUCUGCAACUCGACCUCAUGAAGUCGGAGUCGCUAGUAAUCGCAGAUCAGCAACGCUGCGGUGAAUACGUUCCCGGG